Molecule: ribosomal RNA, 1274 nt
Filed under: Colletotrichum higginsianum
Lineage: Eukaryota; Fungi; Ascomycota; Sordariomycetes; Glomerellales; Glomerellaceae
Description: SSU rRNA
Rfam family: Eukaryotic small subunit ribosomal RNA
Source: RNAcentral
ACCUGGUUGAUUCUGCCAGUAGUCAUAUGCUUGUCUCAAAGAUUAAGCCAUGCAUGUCUAAGUAUAAGCAAUUAUACAGCGAAACUGCGAAUGGCUCAUUAUAUAAGUUAUCGUUUAUUUGAUAGUACCUUACUACUUGGAUAACCGUGGUAAUUCUAGAGCUAAUACAUGCUAAAAAUCCCGACUUCGGAAGGGAUGUAUUUAUUAGAUUAAAAACCAAUGCCCUUCGGGGCUCACUGGUGAUUCAUAAUAACUUCUCGAAUCGCAUGGCCUUGCGCCGGCGAUGGUUCAUUCAAAUUUCUUCCCUAUCAACUUUCGAUGCUAGAGUAGUGUUCUAGCAUGGUUACAACGGGUAACGGAGGGUUAGGGCUCGACCCCGGAGAAGGAGCCUGAGAAACGGCUACUACAUCCAAGGAAGGCAGCAGGCGCGCAAAUUACCCAAUCCCGACACGGGGAGGUAGUGACGAUAAAUACUGAUACAGGGCUCUUUUGGGUCUUGUAAUUGGAAUGAGUACAAUUUAAAUCCCUUAACGAGGAACAAUUGGAGGGCAAGUCUGGUGCCAGCAGCCGCGGUAAUUCCAGCUCCAAUAGCGUAUAUUAAAGUUGUUGUGGUUAAAAAGCUCGUAGUAGAACCUUGGGCCUGGCUGGCCGGUCCGCCUCACCGCGUGCACUGGUCCGGCCGGGCCUUUCCCUCUGUGGAACCGCAUGCCCUUCACUGGGUGUGCCGGGGAAACAGGACUUUUACUUUGAAAAAAUUAGAGUGCUCCAGGCAGGCCUAUGCUCGAAUACAUUAGCAUGGAAUAAUAGAAUAGGACGUGUGGUUCUAUUUUGUUGGUUUCUAGGACCGCCGUAAUGAUUAAUAGGGACAGUCGGGGGCAUCAGUAUUCAAUUGUCAGAGGUGAAAUUCUUGGAUUUAUUGAAGACUAACUACUGCGAAAGCAUUUGCCAAGGAUGUUUUCAUUUAUCAGGAACGAAAGUUAGGGGAUCGAAGACGAUCAGAUACCGUCGUAGUCUUAACCAUAAACUAUGCCGACUAGGGAUCGGACGAUGUUAUUUUUUGACUCGUUCGGCACCUUACGAGAAAUCAAAGUGCUUGGGCUCCAGGGGGAGUAUGGUCGCAAGGCUGAAACUUAAAGAAAUUGACGGAAGGGCACCACCAGGGGUGGAGCCUGCGGCUUAAUUUGACUCAAACACGGGGAAACUCACCAGGUCCAGACACAAUGAGGAUUGACAGAUUGAGAGCUCUUUCUUGAUUUUGUGGGUGGUGGUGCAUG